AUUGAACGCUGGCGGCAGGCUUAACACAUGCAAGUCGAACGGUAGCAGGUAAGUACUUGUACUUAUGCUGACGAGUGGCGGACGGGUGAGUAAUGCUUGGGGAUCUGGCUUAUGGAGGGGGAUAACGACGGGAAACUGUCGCUAAUACCGCGUAGAAUCGAGAGAUGAAAGUGUGGGACCUUCGGGCCACAUGCCAUAGGAUGAACCCAAGUGGGAUUAGGUAGUUGGUAGGGUAAUGGCCUACCAAGCCGACGAUCCCUAGCUGGUCUGAGAGGAUGACCAGCCACACCGGGACUGAGACACGGCCCGGACUCCUACGGGAGGCAGCAGUGGGGAAUAUUGCGCAAUGGGGGGAACCCUGACGCAGCCAUGCCGCGUGAAUGAAGAAGGCCUUCGGGUUGUAAAGUUCUUUCGGUGACGAGGAAGGUUGUUGUGUUAAUAGCGCAACAAAUUGACGUUAAUCACAGAAGAAGCACCGGCUAACUCCGUGCCAGCAGCCGCGGUAAUACGGAGGGUGCGAGCGUUAAUCGGAAUAACUGGGCGUAAAGGGCACGCAGGCGGACUUUUAAGUGAGGUGUGAAAUCCCCGGGCUUAACCUGGGAAUUGCACUUCAGACUGGGGGUCUAGAGUACUUUAGGGAGGGGUAGAAUUCCACGUGUAGCGGUGAAAUGCGUAGAGAUGUGGAGGAAUACCGAAGGCGAAGGCAGCCCCUUGGGAAUGUACUGACGCUCAUGUGCGAAAGCGUGGGGAGCAAACAGG
This 759-nucleotide ribosomal RNA is filed under the name uncultured Aggregatibacter sp. RNAcentral describes it as "bacterial SSU rRNA". It matches the Rfam family "Bacterial small subunit ribosomal RNA", at positions 28 to 776 of the family's 1533-position model. The record is from RNAcentral. Lineage: Bacteria; Pseudomonadati; Pseudomonadota; Gammaproteobacteria; Pasteurellales; Pasteurellaceae.